Molecule: long non-coding RNA, 292 nt
Organism: Triticum dicoccoides
Lineage: Eukaryota; Viridiplantae; Streptophyta; Magnoliopsida; Poales; Poaceae
Exons: 3
Source: RefSeq, a predicted model, not a curated record
GCUACAGGCUAAAGAAGAAAUACUUCAAUGGUUAUACUGCUCAGGAAGCAUUAUCAAAUAAGCCAGCGAACAUUACUCAUGAGAAUUGGACCAGCCUUGUCAAUAAAUGGUCCGAUGAGAGAAACAAGAAAAUAUGUCAAAUGAACAAGGAAAACCGAGAAGCUGUCAAGCAUCACCAAAAGACUGGAUCUAUGUCUUAUGUUGCCUAUUUCAGCAAACUUAAAAAAGACAAGUACAAUAAUCAGGACCCAAGUCCUAUUGAGUUUUUCAAAGACACCCAUAUAAACAGCAA